Molecule: ribosomal RNA, 1334 nt
Filed under: Aedes albopictus (Asian tiger mosquito)
Lineage: Eukaryota; Metazoa; Arthropoda; Insecta; Diptera; Culicidae
Description: 16S ribosomal RNA
Rfam family: Archaeal large subunit ribosomal RNA (bases 1078-1237)
Source: RNAcentral
UAAAUUUUAUUUAUUAAUUUUAUUUAUUUAAGUAUUAUAUUUAAUAAAAAUAAUUUUAAUUCAAUAUAGUUUUAGUAUUUUUUAAAGAAAUAAUAAUUUUAAUAAUAGUUUAUUUGUAUUGUAAAAGAAGAUUGAAAUAAUUUGAAAAAUUUUUAUUUUAAAAGAAAAUUUAAUUUAUUGUACCUUGUGUAUCAGGGUUUAUUAAUUAAUUAAUUAUUAUAGUAAUUUUUCUCGAAUUUUAAAGAUUUAAUUAUAUAUAAAAGUUAUUGUGGAAUAAUUAUUUUUAAUAUAUAAUUAGAAAUGAAAUGUUAAUCGUUUUAAAAUAUAUCUAGUUUUUUAAGAAAUAAAUUUAAUUUAGAUUUAUAAAUUAAAAGUAUUAUUUAUUUAAUAUUUUUAAUUUAUAAAAUUAAUAUUUUAAGGGAUUAGCUUUAAAAUAAAUUUUUAAAUUUUAAAAAAGUAUUUAAUAAAUGUAAGCUUAAAAAUAGUUAUCAUUAAUAAAUUUGUUAUAAUUUAUUUUAAAUUUUUUAUUAUUUAUUAUAAAAUUAAAUUAUUUAUUAAAAUAUAAAUUUUAAUAUUAAUGAUUUAUAAAUUAUGGUAAAAUUAGUAUAUUUAAUUUAUAUAAAUUAUUUAAAUUGAGAGGUUUAAAUAAGGAAUUCGGCAAAUUAUAUAUUCACCUGUUUAUCAAAAACAUGUCUUUUUGUAUUUAAUUUAAAGUCUAACCUGCCCACUGAUAGAUAUUAAAGGGCCGCAGUAUUUUGACUGUGCGAAGGUAGCAUAAUCAGUAGUCUUUUAAUUGAAGGCUUGUAUGAAUGGUUGAAUGAGAUAUAUACUGUCUUUUUUAAAUUUUUAUAGAAUUUUAUUUUUUAAUUAAAAAGUUAAAAUAUAAUUAAAAGACGAGAAGACCCUAUAGAUCUUUAUUUUUUUUAAUUAUAAGUUAAAAAGAAUAAUUAAAUUUAUAGUUUUAUAAAAAAUUUUACUGGGGUGGUAUUAAAAUUUAAUUAACUUUUAUUAUUUGUUUACAUUAAUAUAUGUAUAUUUGAUCCAAUUUUAUUGAUUAAAAAAUUAAGUUACCUUAGGGAUAACAGCGUAAUUUUUUUUUAGAGUUCUUAUCGAUAAAAAAGAUUGCGACCUCGAUGUUGGAUUAAGAAUUAUUUUUAGGUGUAGAAGUUUAAAGUUUAGGUCUGUUCGACCUUUGAAUUCUUACAUGAUCUGAGUUCAAACCGGCGUAAGCCAGGUUGGUUUCUAUCUUUAAUAAAUUAUUAUAUUAUAGUACGAAAGGACCUAAUAUAAAAAAUAUAAAUUUUAAAUUUAUGAAUUAUAUUAAUAUUUAAUAA